Molecule: ribosomal RNA, 492 nt
Filed under: uncultured bacterium
Lineage: Bacteria
Description: partial 16S ribosomal RNA
Rfam family: Bacterial small subunit ribosomal RNA
Source: RNAcentral
AGUGAACGCUGGCGGUAGGCCUAACACAUGCAAGUCGAACGGCAGCACAGUAAGAUCUUGCUCUUACGGGUGGCGAGUGGCGGACGGGUGAGGAAUACAUCGGAAUCUACUUUUUCGUGGGGGAUAACGUAGGGAAACUUACGCUAAUACCGCAUACGACCUACGGGUGAAAGCAGGGGAUCUUCGGACCUUGCGCGAUUGAAUGAGCCGAUGUCGGAUUAGCUAGUUGGCGGGGUAAAGGCCCACCAAGGCGAGGAUCCGUAGCUGGUCGGAGAGGAUGAUCAGCCACACUGGAGCGUAGACACGGUCCAGACUCCUACGGGAGGCAGCAGUGGGGAAUAUGGGACAAUGGGCGCAAGCCUGAUCCAGCCAGACCGCGUGGGUGAAGAAGGCCUUCGGGUUGUAAAGCCCUUUUGUUGGGAAAGAAAAGCAGCAGGUUAAUACCCCGCUGUUCUGACGGUACCCAAAGAAUAAGCACCGGCUAACUUCGUG